RNAcentral lists this ribosomal RNA (211 nucleotides) under uncultured bacterium. RNAcentral describes it as "partial 16S ribosomal RNA". It matches the Rfam family "Bacterial small subunit ribosomal RNA", at positions 524 to 734 of the family's 1533-position model. The record is from RNAcentral.
UACGUAGGGUGCGAGCGUUAAUCGGAAUUACUGGGCGUAAAGCGUGCGCAGGCGGUUUUGUAAGCCAGGUGUGAAAUCCCCGGGCUCAACCUGGGAAAUGGCAUUUGGGACUGCAAGGCUGGAGUGCGGCAGAGGAGACUGGAAUUCCUGGUGUAGCAGUGAAAUGCGUAGAUAUCUGGAGGAAUACCGGUGGCGAAGGCGCAUCCUGGAC